CCUACGGGAGGCAGCAGUCGGGAAUAUUGCGCAAUGGAGGAAACUCUGACGCAGUGACGCCGCGUGCAGGAAGAAGGUUUUCGGAUUGUAAACUGCUUUAGACAGGGAAGAAAAACGACAGUACCUGUCGAAUCAGCUCCGGCUAACUACGUGCCAGCAGCCGCGGUAAAACGUAGGGAGCCAGCGUUAUCCAGAUUGAUUGGGUGUAAAGGGUGCGUAGACGGAGAAGCAAGUUAGUUGUGAAAUCCCUCGGCUUAACUGAGGAACUGCAACUAAAACUACUUCCCUUGAGUACUGGAGAGGAAAGUGGAAUUCCUAGUGUAGCGGUGAAAUGCGUAGAUAUUAGGAGGAACACCAGUGGCGAAGGCGACUUUCUGGACAGUAACUGACGUUGAGGCACGAAAGUGUGGGGAGCAAACAGGAUUAGAUACCCCAGUAGUC
RNAcentral lists this ribosomal RNA (441 nucleotides) under uncultured bacterium. Its description in RNAcentral is "partial 16S ribosomal RNA". It matches the Rfam family "Bacterial small subunit ribosomal RNA", at positions 338 to 795 of the family's 1533-position model. The record is from RNAcentral.